RNAcentral lists this long non-coding RNA (569 nucleotides) under Sorghum bicolor (sorghum). RNAcentral's name for it is "long non-coding RNA (SBIC_LNC001572)". Lineage: Eukaryota; Viridiplantae; Streptophyta; Magnoliopsida; Poales; Poaceae. The record is from RNAcentral.
UAUAUUUAAUGCAUGUGUUCAAAGAUUCAAUGUGAUAUAGAAUCUUGAAAAAAAUUUAGAACUAAACAAGGCCUAAGUCUUAGGCUUUCUCUUGCUCUGCUACAGUGGCCAAAAAUUGCCAGGGCUAGUAUGCAUCGGGUAUCUUUUGAGAUUAAUGGAGUGCCAACAUAUAUAUUACUUCUAAAUCGUUCAUAAUCGAUUGUCUCUACGAUUUUAGUGGACACAAAACUUAGCACAACGUAAUGUGAACAUAAGGACGUUAAAGAAAAUAAGGAGGUAACAGCCACGCAAAAUGGAGCCUCAUAAGUAAGAGGACUUUUUUGAAUCCAUACACAACCAAUCAAUCAAGCAGUAAAAAUUUACUUAAACAUUCAUGAUGGUCCUUCCAGUUUGUGGGUUUCUGUUGAAGAGGUUUCUGUGCACUAUACUAACCUACAUGUAAAACAAAUCCAAAGAAAUCCUAAAAUAAUAUACUCACUACUACGCACUACGGGAGACAGAGGCUUUGCGAGUGUCAAAAACACUCGGCAAAGGCCCAAAUACACUCGGCAAAGCUUUUGCCGAGUACC